UACCAGCACCUCGAGUGGUCAGGACGUUUAUUGGGCCUAAAGCAUCCGUAGCCGGCUUUGCAAGUCUUCGGUUAAAUCCACCUGCUCAACAGAUGGGCUGCUGGAGAUACUACAAAGCUAGGGAGUGGGAGAGGCAGACGGUAUUCAGUGGGUAGGGGUAAAAUCCUCUGAUCCAUUGAGGACCACCAGUGGCGAAGGCGGUCUGCCAGAACACGUUCGACGGUGAGGGAUGAAAGCUGGGGGAGCAAACCGGAUUAGAUACCCGGGUAGUCCCAGCUGUAAACGAUGCAAACUCGGUGAUGCAUUGGCUUAUGGCCAAUGCAGUGCCGCAGGGAAGCCGUUAAGUUUGCCGCCUGGGAAGUACGGACGCAAGUCUGAAACUUAAAUGAAUUGACGG
Molecule: ribosomal RNA, 397 nt
Filed under: uncultured archaeon
Lineage: Archaea
Description: bacterial SSU rRNA
Rfam family: Archaeal small subunit ribosomal RNA
Source: RNAcentral